RNAcentral lists this ribosomal RNA (435 nucleotides) under Enchytraeus buchholzi. Its description in RNAcentral is "partial 16S ribosomal RNA". It matches the Rfam family "Bacterial large subunit ribosomal RNA", at positions 1910 to 2596 of the family's 2925-position model. Lineage: Eukaryota; Metazoa; Annelida; Clitellata; Enchytraeida; Enchytraeidae. The record is from RNAcentral.
GAAUAAAUUCAACGGCCGCGGUAUCCUAACCGUGCAAAGGUAGCAUAAUCACUUGCCUAUUAAUUGUAGGCUAGAAUGAAUGGGGUAACGAAAUAAAACCUAUCUUAAUUAAAGUAAAUAAAAACUUAUAUUUAAGUGAAGAAGCUUAAAUUUAAUAAAAGGACAAGAAGACCCUAUAGAGCUUUAGUAAAAAUUUAUUAUAUAAGUAAUCACUUCGGUUGGGGCGACCCAGGAUAAUUCAUCCUGAAAAUAAUAGAUACAUAAAUCAAACAUUAUGAACCUACCUAGAUCACAGAUCUAGCUACCUUAGGGAUAACAGGCUAAUCUCACCUUAGAGCUCAUAUCCAAGGUGAGGAUUGGCACCUCGAUGUUGGCUUAGAGAAUCACAUUGGCGCAGCAGUCAAUAAAUGAGGGUUUGUUCAACCCGUAAUACUC